RNAcentral lists this ribosomal RNA (301 nucleotides) under uncultured bacterium. RNAcentral's name for it is "partial 16S ribosomal RNA". It matches the Rfam family "Bacterial small subunit ribosomal RNA", at positions 509 to 807 of the family's 1533-position model. The record is from RNAcentral.
CAGUCGCCGCGGGAAUACGAAGGGGGCUAGCGUUGUUCGGAAUUACUGGGCGUAAAGCGCACGUAGGCGGAUAUUUAAGUCAGGGGUGAAAUCCCAAGGCUCAACCUUGGAACUGCCUUUGAUACUGGAAGUCUUGAGUUCGGGAGAGGUGAGUGGAACUGCGAGUGUAGAGGUGAAAUUCGUAGAUAUUCGCAAGAACACCAGUGGCGAAGGCGGCUCACUGGCCCGAUACUGACGCUGAGGUGCGAAAGCGUGGGGAGCAAACAGGAUUAGAUACCCCUGUAGUCCCUGUCUCUUAUAC